Molecule: ribosomal RNA, 515 nt
Filed under: uncultured Maricaulis sp.
Lineage: Bacteria; Pseudomonadati; Pseudomonadota; Alphaproteobacteria; Maricaulales; Maricaulaceae
Description: bacterial SSU rRNA
Rfam family: Bacterial small subunit ribosomal RNA
Source: RNAcentral
UGGGCGCAAGCCUGAUCCAGCCAUGCCGCGUGAAUGAUGAAGGCCUUAGGGUUGUAAAAUUCUUUCAGCAGGGAAGAUAAUGACGGUACCUGCAGAAGAAGCCCCGGCUAACUCCGUGCCAGCAGCCGCGGUAAUACGGAGGGGGCUAGCGUUGUUCGGAAUUACUGGGCGUAAAGCGCUCGUAGGCGGAUUGGUCAGUCAGGGGUGAAAGCCCGGAGCUCAACUCCGGAACUGCCUUUGAUACUGCCAGUCUUGAGUUCGGGAGAGGUGAGCGGAAUACCGAGUGUAGAGGUGAAAUUCGUAGAUAUUCGGUGGAACACCAGAGGCGAAGGCGGCUCACUGGACCGAUACUGACGCUGAGGAGCGAAAGCGUGGGGAGCAAACAGGAUUAGAUACCCUGGUAGUCCACGCCGUAAACGAUGAGAGCUAGUUGUCUGGCAGCAUGCUGUUAGGUGACGCAGCUAACGCAUUAAGCUCUCCGCCUGGGGAGUACGGCCGCAAGGUUAAAACUCAAA